Molecule: long non-coding RNA, 1075 nt
Filed under: Homo sapiens (human)
Lineage: Eukaryota; Metazoa; Chordata; Mammalia; Primates; Hominidae
Description: HSALNT0081410
Source: RNAcentral
AAGGGAUUACAGCAGAUCAUACAGCUUGGAGGAGAAGAGUAAAACAGAUGCAUUGAAUGAAGAUCUCACAGUGACAUGAAAAAGAGGCAAAGCUUUGUGUGCUGGAAAACUUAGAGGAUUCUCCUUCAUUGUGGAAGGUUUGGACUGGGCCUUAAAGAUUGAGGACCUAUUGGGAACCAUUAGACUUUGGCCAAUCACGAGACUAUAUGAACUGCAUAUAGUAAAAAUAUAUUGAUAGUAAUAUAGUUUGGUUUUUAUUUAAUAAACUAAGAAGAAAAGAUGAGUUUGGGGUCAAAGAGCAGAAGGGAGAAAGGAAGGGCAAAGGGAAGGGGAAAGAAUAGAGACAUAAGAGAAAAAUCAGUAAGCAGACUUGAGAAAGGUAAGACUGGAAUCUUUGUACAAUAGGUCUGUUUUUCUAGUGACUUUUUAAUUGUAAUAAUUUCCAUUUUUCUGAUUUCAAAAUAAGGUACAUAUGAUUAAAAAUGUAAAUUAUGUUUAAAGUAAAAUUAAGAUAUGAAUAAUAAAUUAAUACUAAUAAUGACUGCCUACAUCAUACAUUUGGACACAAAGUAUAGUCCAGGAGCACCUGGGAUUCCCAAAGAAACUUUCAGGCAGUCAGGUAGAAACCGCUUUCAUAAUAAUACUGAAACUAUAUUUGACUCUUUCACUCUCAUUCUUUCCUGUGCAUUCUAUUGCAGAGGCUAAAUGUACGCCAUUGUUCUGACAGAUCACUGAAAGUGUGUCUGUGUAUUCUUGUGUUUCAAAAGGUUCUGCUUAAAUUUAUAAUAUAAUAAAUAUAAGUAGUUAGGUUUGACAUAAAUAAAAGCUUUUGACAUUCUCAAUAAUUUUUAAGAGCCUACGACACAAAGUUUGAUAACCAGUGACUAAGAAUUUCUUAUAUUCAGAUCCAAUUCUUUCUAGUCUUCUAGUGUGUGUACGGGUGUCAUUCAAAAAUAGUGACUUUAAAAAUAUAUGUCAUUUAAAAUAUAUAUAUACUUAUAGAAUAAGUGUAAAUAUAUGGGUGUAUAUAUAUUUGUGGUAUUUUAAACCUAUUUAAUUUAAAUUUGUAUUAUAG